AUGGUCUCUCAUCAUGCCUCCCAAAUAUUCUUUUUAAUUGUUGUGAAAAUUUAUAUUCAACUGAAGACCAGACUGUGCAUCAAAGAACCUAGAAGUAUGUACUUCCAAGGCUACAUAUUUUCAAAGGAAUUUAAUUCUGACCUCUGGACGCAAUGGAGCAGUUUCUCUGCCCCUCUACUUCGGGGAAGGCAGAAAGGAAGAAGGGAUGAUUCAAACCUGUUGUUCUGCCAAAAGUCCUCCACGAUUCCGAUUUCUAGUGAGUGCUCAGAGAAUCUGCCCGAAACCUGUGCCCUCCUUCCAUGUCAGAUAAGCAGAAAGUUUGCUCCAGCUAUGAUCAAUCUGCACAACGCAGAGAUGUUUUUUUGGCAUAAAGCGUACGCUAGAAAGCGGAUGGUGAUUAAACUCGCCCCCAUCCCCACCCCCCCCCCCCUUCUUGCGGCCGGCUGGGGAGUGUGUUUUGCUUGCAUUGAAGAAAUGUCCUUCAGCUGCAGGCGUGUGCGUUUUUGCGUCUCGGGGACAGGACGACGCGGGCCGGCUGAGUGUCACCCACAGAUGUGCUCGGUCUUGCCCCGCGGAGACGGCGGUCCCCUUCCUCUCCCCGGGCCGUCUCCAGCCCGAGGCCCGCGGCCCAGACCCGGGGAAGGGGAAGGAAGCCCUCGCCGCAAGCCGACGUCUGGGCCGGCACAAAACACGCUGCCACCAGUAACUUUCCCCCCGUGGCUGCGCGCAACUUUUUUGCCUGUUCGCCCAGCACGUUCUGUCCCGAGUUUGUGUCCCCUGGGUUUUCCUCCGCUUCCCUCACCUUCUGUCAGGCGGCGCGCGGAGGACCUGGGUUGGCGGGGGCGAGGGGGCGCCGGGGCCGCGGCGGCGGAAGAGAAAAAGGGGAAGGGGGAGAGGAGGUGGGGGCGGCGGCGGCGGUGCGGGAGGAGGAACUGGUCAAAGGGGACACAGACCGGCGAGCACCCGAAAAGGAAAGCGACGCCGCGGUUUGCUGCAGUCGGGAUAAAGUUCGCGCCCUUUCCUCGGGGUUUCUGCCUUUGA
RNAcentral lists this long non-coding RNA (1041 nucleotides) under Felis catus (domestic cat). RNAcentral describes it as "lncRNA (ENSFCAG00000052887.1)". The record is from RNAcentral. Lineage: Eukaryota; Metazoa; Chordata; Mammalia; Carnivora; Felidae.